Haliotis rubra (blacklip abalone) is the source of this 161-nucleotide long non-coding RNA. RefSeq lists it as uncharacterized. The transcript is spliced from 3 exons. The record is from RefSeq and is a predicted model, not a curated record. Lineage: Eukaryota; Metazoa; Mollusca; Gastropoda; Lepetellida; Haliotidae.
UGAAUCAAUAAAUAAUGUUAAUAAGUCAUCUUCUAUAGCGCACAGUCUCCAAACACCAAGUGAUUGCUCGCGGCGCUUUAUCAGAAUCUGAUUAAUAUUACCCCGAUAACCCAAGCUGCCUGAUAGGCGCUAGAAGGUUAUAGUCACAUGACUUUUUCAAC